GAUGAACGCUGGCGGCGUGCUUAACACAUGCAAGUCGAACGGAAAGGCCCAAGCUUGCUUGGGUACUCGAGUGGCGAACGGGUGAGUAACACGUGGGUGAUCUGCCCUGCACUUCGGGAUAAGCCUGGGAAACUGGGUCUAAUACCGGAUAGGACCACUUCUUGGAUGUUGUGGUGGAAAGUUUUUUCGGUGUGGGAUGAGCUCGCGGCCUAUCAGCUUGUUGGUGGGGUAAUGGCCUACCAAGGCGUCGACGGGUAGCCGGCCUGAGAGGGUGUACGGCCACAUUGGGACUGAGAGACGGCCCAGACUCCUACGGGAGGCAGCAGUGGGGAAGAUUGCAGAAUGGGCGCAAGCCUGAUGCAGCGACGCCGCGUGGGGGAUGACGGCCUUCGGGUUGUAAACUCCUUGCGCUAGGGACGAAGCGUUUUGUGACGGUACCUGGAGAAGAAGCACCGGCUAACUACGUG
This 467-nucleotide ribosomal RNA is filed under the name uncultured bacterium. RNAcentral describes it as "partial 16S ribosomal RNA". It matches the Rfam family "Bacterial small subunit ribosomal RNA", at positions 28 to 507 of the family's 1533-position model. The record is from RNAcentral.